Molecule: ribosomal RNA, 324 nt
Filed under: uncultured bacterium
Lineage: Bacteria
Description: bacterial SSU rRNA
Rfam family: Bacterial small subunit ribosomal RNA
Source: RNAcentral
GAUGAACGCUGGCGGCGUGCCUAACACAUGCAAGUCGAACGAAGCGAUCAAGAUGAAGUUUUCGGAUGAAUUCAAGAUUGACUGAGUGGCGGACGGGUGAGUAACGCGUGGGUAACCUGCCUCAUACAGGGGGAUAACAGUUAGAAAUGACUGCUAAUACCGCAUAAGCGCACGUCAUCGCAUGAUGGUGUGUGAAAAACUCCGGUGGUAUGAGAUGGACCCGCGUCUGAUUAGGUAGUUGGUGGGGUAACGGCCCACCAAGCCGACGAUCAGUAGCCGACCUGAGAGGGUGACCGGCCACAUUGGGACUGAGACACGGCCCAA